Molecule: long non-coding RNA, 315 nt
Filed under: Elaeis guineensis (African oil palm)
Lineage: Eukaryota; Viridiplantae; Streptophyta; Magnoliopsida; Arecales; Arecaceae
Description: long non-coding RNA (EGUI_LNC048267)
Source: RNAcentral
GCAAGCAUGAAAGCCGCCUUCAUUGCUACUUUUCUUGGUAUGAACAACUGCUCGCUUCACAAAAGCAACUAAAAAAAUCACCUGUAAUAUAGCUAAUUUCCAUAUUCUAUUUAUCCAUUGAGAUUUUAAUUUUUUUUACUUCUUAAAAUAUGCAUGCACAACUACUCAAAGCAAAUAUUUUCAACAAUCAGCAAGAAUAGUCAAUAAUCCCCAAAAUCAAUCCAUCAAAAAGACCACCUCCAAUCCAGCGAAACAUGCUAAAAGAAAAACUAAAAAGUAUACAGAUGAUACCUUUCCUGAGGGGGUGAUGGGCUA